GCCUCUCUAAUGAACAGCUCUCCCUCCCUCUCCCACAUGCCUGGCGCUCUGCCUAUUUGCAGCUGAAGGGAAGAAUUAGGCAGCUGCUCCUUCUUCCAGACUCCCAGAUCCUCAUCUUAUCUUCUGUGGCAGCAAACACUCCAGCCUCUGUGAACAAAACCUAUCCUUUACAGUCGUGGAUUGUACUGAUUCAUUCGCUGAUUACACUGGAGCGUGAAUGCAUUUCCAUAUCUGUGUUACUCUGGCCAAUUAUAUGCAUUUGAAGACUUUAUUGCAAAGAGAUUUGCUUUGUUUAAAGGAUUAAGACUCAGGUUCUACCAUUACUAUAGUUUGUUGCCUACCUUCAUAAGUGAAAGAAAUACUGCUGCUGCUGCUAAGUCGCUUCAGUCAAGUCCGACUCUGUGCAACCCCAUAGACGGCAGCCCACCAGGCUCCGCCGUCCCUGGGAUUCUCCAGGCAAGAACACUGGAGUGGGUUGCCAUUUCCUUCUCCAAUGCAUGAAAGUAAAAAGUGAAAGUGAAGUCGCUCAGUUGUGUCCAACUCUUAGCGACCCGAC
Long non-coding RNA from Bos taurus (domestic cattle), 556 nucleotides. NCBI's taxonomy places the organism in Eukaryota, Metazoa, Chordata, Mammalia, Artiodactyla, Bovidae. The record is from Ensembl.